Molecule: ribosomal RNA, 245 nt
Filed under: uncultured bacterium
Lineage: Bacteria
Description: partial 16S ribosomal RNA
Rfam family: Bacterial small subunit ribosomal RNA
Source: RNAcentral
GAUCCUGGCUCAGGAUGAACGCUAGCUACAGGCUUAACACAUGCAAGUCGAGGGGAAACGACAUCGAAAGCUUGCUUUUGAUGGGCGUCGACCGGCGCACGGGUGAGUAACGCGUAUCCAACCUGCCUACCACUUGGGGAUAACCUUGCGAAAGUAAGACUAAUACCCAAUGACAUCCNCCGAAGACACUCUGAAUGGGAGUUAAAGAAUUAUUGUGGAUGGUAUGGGAGGUGCGUCGUGAUUAG